RNAcentral lists this ribosomal RNA (475 nucleotides) under Centipeda infelix. Its description in RNAcentral is "bacterial SSU rRNA". It matches the Rfam family "Bacterial small subunit ribosomal RNA", at positions 28 to 474 of the family's 1533-position model. The record is from RNAcentral. Lineage: Bacteria; Bacillati; Bacillota; Negativicutes; Selenomonadales; Selenomonadaceae.
GACGAACGCUGGCGGCGUGCUUAACACAUGCAAGUCGGACGGAGCGAAUGAAAGCUUGCUUUUAUGAGCUUAGUGGCAAACGGGUGAGUAACACGUAGACAACCUGCCGACAGGAUGGGGACAACAUUCCGAAAGGAAUGCUAAUACCGAAUGAAGCGGAGGAGAGGCAUCUCUCCUCCGUGAAAGAUGGCCUCUAUUUAUAAGCUAUCACCUGUCGAUGGGUCUGCGUCUGAUUAGCUGGUUGGUGAGGUAACGGCUCACCAAGGCGACGAUCAGUAGCCGGUCUGAGAGGAUGAACGGCCACAUUGGGACUGAGACACGGCCCAGACUCCUACGGGAGGCAGCAGUGGGGAAUCUUCCGCAAUGGGCGCAAGCCUGACGGAGCAACGCCGCGUGAGUGAAGAAGGUCUUCGGAUCGUAAAGCUCUGUUGACGGGGACGAACGUGCGAAGGGUGAAUAAUCCUUUGUAAUGACG